This is a long non-coding RNA of Athalia rosae (coleseed sawfly), 1092 nucleotides long. RefSeq lists it as uncharacterized. Lineage: Eukaryota; Metazoa; Arthropoda; Insecta; Hymenoptera; Athaliidae. The transcript is spliced from 2 exons. The record is from RefSeq and is a predicted model, not a curated record.
CAAUGUUGCUAAUUACUACAUACCGCCGAAUGCGGCAUAACUCGCGACCCUCGAAUUCCAAAUCCCAGAUUACCGGCGCAACAGACGCCCUGCCGCCGGAACGGGCGCCACCCAUCUUCCGUACCGCACCUACCUUCUCCUAUAUCCACAGUUAUUAUAUAAUAUCUGCGAAUAGUACCUGAGAAUUCUUCAAUCCACCGCAAUUGCCUCGGUCCUGAAAUUGCGGUUAAUUAUUCCCCCGUUGAAUUUUACAACGCGUACAACUUUCCCCGAAGUAUUUAUUUUUUUGUUCUGUGUUAUCUCUCUUUCUGUUUUUGUUUUUUUUUUCCUCCCCCGCCCCCGUUCUUUCCCCGUAGCCAUCAUUUUCAUUUAUUCUAUUCAAAUUUUCGUCACUCCCGUAAUUACCCUAUAGUCAGCUGUUGACCCGUUCCGAGGAAUGUAGGUACACGCGGUUAGCUCGGGUAGCGAAUGUACAUACAUACAUAUAUAUAUACAUAUACCUGCAGGUAUAUACCGUGUAUACUCCGUUGACUAGUUUUUGCUACGUCUCAAACUCCGCGUCGCAGGGGCUAAUUGGUUAAUGCAAAUGACAAGAGAGCUGCUUGUUCGUCUGCCUCUGGCUCCGAGCAGUUCGUUACAGAAAAGUGGGGAACUCCGUCGUCAGGCAACUUGCAGACGGAGGCUUCUGGACGCAGUUGCGGUUCGCAAGAUAUUUUCACCGAAGCGUCGCUCGAGGAGAAACCGCGACGUUCUACGUACGUACGUACCAACGGGUGUAUCGGCUACGUGUAUUCCUGUCAUUGUCACUCCUUGUCACGAAAUUCUUUUUUUUUUUUUCUUCCCAUUUUUUUUUUGGAUUCCUUCUCUUUUUAGCGGAAUUUCAGCAAUCUACCUCGAGAAAUAUAUUCCACCUUGGCGUUGGCGUACCUAAAGUAAUACUUGGUUGGAUACUUUUCAGAGAAACAUUAUUAACCAGCCGUCGUAUCUUUGACGCUCGAUGCAGAAAUGAAAAAUGAAAUAAUAAUAAUAAUAAUGGAAAAAAAACCCCUUUCGCAAAAUGUUGUAAAAGCGUAUAAAUAAGCGAGUUAUAAA